This 1234-nucleotide long non-coding RNA is filed under the name Homo sapiens (human). RNAcentral's name for it is "HSALNT0400968". The record is from RNAcentral. Lineage: Eukaryota; Metazoa; Chordata; Mammalia; Primates; Hominidae.
GUAUUUCCGCGGGCGCUGAGCACUAGAGAGAGCGUCUUGUGGCUGCGGCCUGCCCCUCAGCCUCCUCCGCGCGGUUACCCCUGUACCCGCCGCCAUCCGUCCUGGCGCUCCGGAUGAGUCAAUGAGGGGCAGGGCCCGAGGAGUGGUCUUCCCAAGAACCCCUGGUGGCCUCCCAAGGCCGGUGCUGUGUACCUCCUCCCCGACAAAAGGGGAAACUGAGGCCCCGAGGGGAGUGGGAAGAGCCGGCUGGACGUCAGGCCCAGCCGCUGGUGCAGUGGUCCGUCCCCUCUGCCGGGGUGGGCCCCUCGGGUUUCGCGUGUCCUCGGGAAAGAGACUGGCGGGCCUCGUGGGCUGUGCGGCUAUCCUGGAGACAGAUGACAGCUCUCCCUUGGAUGGCUUUGCUGGUUCCGCACCAGCCAGCGCCCCCAUUUUUCCUGCAGCACCCUGAUCUGCACUCCCUGAGGGGCUCCCACUGUCCGCGGUGUGAGGAUGUCCCUGGAAAUUGGUCUUCUGUGACUUUCUUGAUGGGGGCAGAUGAGAUCUUUGUACUGCAUUAAGUGGAUAGCGCUCAGGUCCUUUGGGCUUGGCGCUUUGGCAAUCUCCAGGCAGCUCACUUUGGCCUCUGUUCCUGGAUCCCCUUUGCUCUUUUCUGCGCCUGCAUUCAUAGUCCACUGUGUGCAGAGGCAUGGGAGUUGUCAUGUUGGGAACAUGCUAGACCUCAGUAUCCUUGAGGGAUGCUGCCUUGGGUCUGGAAACUGUUAGAGGAAACCCCAAGAGGUGCAGGCACUGAGCCUCUCAGGACAAUGACCUGGGGUCCCAGCUCCCCUGGAGGGGCCUCCUCAUGAUUGUUUGGGGGUUGAUCACAGACCAAGAGUGACGAGUGAUGUCACCCUGUGACUCAUGGCUGGACCUUCUUGCCCCUAUUGUCUCAGCACAACAUUAUUCGACUUUUCCCUCAGCGUGGGUGGGCAGAGGAAAAGCCCUGUGGCUCUGGGGACUUGGGAUCCAGAGUUGAAGACCCUUCAGCUGGCUCUGCCCUGCCAGUGCCACAGAGUGCCAUGGCCCAGGAAGACAGGUUUUCUUCCAUCUAGGCCAGGCCAUCCAGUGGCCAUCCUCCGUGUCCUCCCGCCUCCUCCUGGUGUGACUUCUGAAAACCAAGAAUUUGUUCCUGUUGACUUUUUCUGUGCUAUGGACCAUUGUCCUCUCACCCACUCAAUAAAUCUUGAAACAUGCC